RNAcentral lists this ribosomal RNA (544 nucleotides) under uncultured Sphingobacteriaceae bacterium. RNAcentral describes it as "bacterial SSU rRNA". It matches the Rfam family "Bacterial small subunit ribosomal RNA", at positions 90 to 632 of the family's 1533-position model. The record is from RNAcentral. Lineage: Bacteria; Pseudomonadati; Bacteroidota; Sphingobacteriia; Sphingobacteriales; Sphingobacteriaceae.
AGAGACCGGCGCACGGGUGCGUAACGCGUAUGCAACCUACCUUAAUCAGGGGGAUAGCCCGGAGAAAUCCGGAUUAACACCGCAUAACAUUAUUGGAUGGCAUCAUUCGGUAAUCAAAUAUUUAUAGGAUUAAGAUGGGCAUGCGUGACAUUAGUUAGUUGGUGAGGUAACGGCUCACCAAGACUUCGAUGUCUAGGGGAUCUGAGAGGAUGACCCCCCACACUGGUACUGAGACACGGACCAGACUCCUACGGGAGGCAGCAGUAAGGAAUAUUGGUCAAUGGGCGCAAGCCUGAACCAGCCAUGCCGCGUGCAGGAAGACGGCCCUACGGGUUGUAAACUGCUUUUGUACCGGAAUAAACCUGCUCUCGUGAGAGCAGCUGAACGUACGGUAAGAAUAAGGAUCGGCUAACUCCGUGCCAGCAGCCGCGGUAAUACGGAGGAUCCAAGCGUUAUCCGGAUUUAUUGGGUUUAAAGGGUGCGUAGGCGGCUUUUUAAGUCAGGGGUGAAAACUUGCGGCUCAACCGUAAGCUUGCCUUUGAUA